UACGGGGGGGGCAAGCGUUGUUCGGAAUUACUGGGCGUAAAGGGCUCGUAGGCGGCCAACUGAGUCAGACGUGAAAUCCCUCGGCUUAACCGGGGAACUGCGUCUGAUACUGGAUGGCUUGAGAUUGGGAGAGGGAUGCGGAAUUCCAGGUGUAGCGGUGAAAUGCGUAGAUAUCUGGAGGAACACCGGUGGCGAAGGCGGCAUCCUGGACCAACACUGACGCUGAGGAGCGAAAGCCAGGGGAGCAAACGGG
RNAcentral lists this ribosomal RNA (253 nucleotides) under uncultured bacterium. RNAcentral's name for it is "partial 16S ribosomal RNA". It matches the Rfam family "Bacterial small subunit ribosomal RNA", at positions 524 to 776 of the family's 1533-position model. The record is from RNAcentral.